This 725-nucleotide ribosomal RNA is filed under the name uncultured bacterium. RNAcentral describes it as "bacterial SSU rRNA". It matches the Rfam family "Bacterial small subunit ribosomal RNA", at positions 62 to 770 of the family's 1533-position model. The record is from RNAcentral.
UCGAGGGGCAGCGGAGGCGAGAGCUUGCUCUCGCCUGCCGGCGACCGGCGCACGGGUGAGUAACACGUAUGCAACCUGCCCUUUGCAGGAGGAUAACCGGGAGAAAUUCCGACUAAUACUGCAUAACACUCCCUUACCACAUGGUUUGGGAGUCAAAGGAAGCAAUUCCGGCAAAGGAUGGGCAUGCGGCACAUUAGCCAGUUGGCGGGGUAACGGCCCACCAAAGCGACAAUGCGUAGGGGUUCUGAGAGGAAGGUCCCCCACAUUGGUACUGAGACACGGACCAAACUCCUACGGGAGGCAGCAGUGAGGAAUAUUGGUCAAUGGGCGCAAGCCUGAACCAGCCAAGUCGCGUGAGGGAUGACGGUCCUAUGGAUUGUAAACCUCUUUUGUCAGGGAGCAAAGCCGCCCUCGUGAGGGCGGAAGGAGAGUACCUGAAGAAAAAGCAUCGGCUAACUCCGUGCCAGCAGCCGCGGUAAUACGGAGGAUGCGAGCGUUAUCCGGAUUUAUUGGGUUUAAAGGGUGCGUAGGCGGAAGAUUAAGUCAGCGGUCAAAUGUCGGUGCUCAACACCGGCCUGCCGUUGAAACUGGUUUUCUUGAGUGAGCGAGAAGUAUGCGGAAUGCGUGGUGUAGCGGUGAAAUGCAUAGAUAUCACGCAGAACUCCGAUUGCGAAGGCAGCAUACCGGCGCUCAACUGACGCUGAGGCACGAAAGCGUGGGGAUCG